This 468-nucleotide ribosomal RNA is filed under the name uncultured bacterium. Its description in RNAcentral is "partial 16S ribosomal RNA". It matches the Rfam family "Bacterial small subunit ribosomal RNA", at positions 28 to 507 of the family's 1533-position model. The record is from RNAcentral.
GACGAACGCUGGCGGCGUGCUUAACACAUGCAAGUCGAACGGAAAGGCCCUGCUUUUGUUGGGUGCUCGAGUGGCGAACGGGUGGGUAACACGUGAGUAACCUGCCCUUGACUUUGGGAUAACUUCAGGAAACUGGGGCUAAUACCGGAUAGGAGCUCCUGCUGCAUGGUGGGGGUUGGAAAGUUUCGGCGGUUGGGGAUGGACUCGCGGCUUAUCAGCUUGUUGGUGGGGUAGUGGCUUACCAAGGCUUUGACGGGUAGCCGGCCUGAGAGGGUGACCGGCCACAUUGGGACUGAGAUACGGCCCAGACUCCUACGGGAGGCAGCAGUGGGGAAUAUUGCACAAUGGGCGGAAGCCUGAUGCAGCAACGCCGCGUGCGGGAUGACGGCCUUCGGGUUGUAAACCGCUUUCGCCUGUGACGAAGCGUGAGUGACGGUAAUGGGUAAAGAAGCACCGGCUAACUACGUG